Molecule: long non-coding RNA, 501 nt
Organism: Ictidomys tridecemlineatus (thirteen-lined ground squirrel)
Lineage: Eukaryota; Metazoa; Chordata; Mammalia; Rodentia; Sciuridae
Source: RefSeq, a predicted model, not a curated record
GUGGGACUCUUUAAAACCAAGAGGACUCCCUAAUUCCUGUUACCUGCGAUGCCCCGGGAGGAUUAUAACUGGACUGCCUGAGUCAAGAGAAGUUCAUGAAGUAAGAAAGAGCGUGAUUGGUCAGCGGGGCGAGGGCGUGUGUCUGGAACUCGAUUAUUGGGGAAACUCUAAGGAGGACCGAGAGUUUGCCUGCGGAGCGCUGUGCUCUGAGCAGUAGCUGGUGGAGAAACCUGGAGGGAUUGUAUUGCUCAAAUUCUGCCUUGAAUUCUAAACAAGGGUCUUUCUCUAGAGUCAGUAGCAGAACAAUCCAUAAAUCUUCACAGCAUUUGGUCAUUUUUUUGUUUCAACAACAGGACAAGAGAAAGUGAACCCAGCCUUGUAAUUACCACAUAGAUGAAGAAACAGACCUGGGCCAGGCACAGUGGCACAUGCCUGUAAUCCCAGUGAUUUGGGGAGCUGAGACAGGAGGAUCGCAAGUUCAAAGCCAGCCUCAGCAAAAUG